GGAUUGUAGGCUGCAACUCGCCUACAUGAAGUCGGAAUCGCUAGUAAUCGCGGAUCAGCAUGCCGCGGUGAAUACGUUCCCGGGCCUUGUACACACCGCCCGUCACACCAUGAGAGUUUGUAACACCCAAAGCCGGUGGGGUAACCUUUUGGAGCCAGCCGUCUAAGGUGGGACAGAUGAUUGGGGUGAAGUCGUAACAAGGUACC
This 206-nucleotide ribosomal RNA is filed under the name uncultured bacterium. RNAcentral describes it as "partial 16S ribosomal RNA". It matches the Rfam family "Bacterial small subunit ribosomal RNA", at positions 1295 to 1500 of the family's 1533-position model. The record is from RNAcentral.